CCUUGUACACACCGCCCGUCACACCACGAGAGUUUGUAACACCCGAAGUCGGUGGGGGAACCUUUUUGGGGGCAGCCGCCUAAGGGGGGGUAGAUGAAUGGGGGGGAGGCGUAACAAGGUAGCCGGAUCGGAAGGGGCGGCUGGAUCACCCCCUUUCUAAGGAA
RNAcentral lists this ribosomal RNA (164 nucleotides) under Enterococcus faecium. Its description in RNAcentral is "partial 16S ribosomal RNA". It matches the Rfam family "Bacterial small subunit ribosomal RNA", at positions 1379 to 1533 of the family's 1533-position model. Lineage: Bacteria; Bacillati; Bacillota; Bacilli; Lactobacillales; Enterococcaceae. The record is from RNAcentral.